Molecule: long non-coding RNA, 780 nt
Organism: Micropterus dolomieu (smallmouth bass)
Lineage: Eukaryota; Metazoa; Chordata; Actinopteri; Centrarchiformes; Centrarchidae
Exons: 2
Source: RefSeq, a predicted model, not a curated record
GGAUUCUCUCAACAGGUAAACCUACAACCACAGCCCCGCCCACCUCUGCAACUCUGCCCGCUGCCUCAGCCUCCCUCCAGCUUGAAUUCAGACUGAUCUUACACCUGGUGGUGUUCUGUCCGUACUGCAUCUCCACUGUCCUCAUGUUGUCUUUAUAUCGACGCAGGGCCACAGCAAGUGACCUGCCCAUUUCCACGGUGAUGACCCCUCUAAACCACACUGAAAAGGGAUUGGAUGAAGACUAUGAUGACAUCAUCACUGCUGUCAUCACUGAGCAUCCCUUCUGAGCUACGCCAAUGAUUACAUCCUUGAUUUCUGCGGUCGGCUAUCUCAACUUCGUCUGGCUUCAUAAUGUUGUCACUUUUUUGAUGAAAAAGAUUCACACUCUGUGGGCUCAUGUUAAAUAGUAUGUGUUUAAUUUAACUUCUGUAUAAAUAAUGCGAUCGAAAUUCAUAUUAUAAUGUAUUUUCCUGUUUACCUUUGUAUGCUGUACCCUUAUGGCCCAUGUGUCACUGUUUGGUGUUGAUGCUUGUAUUAUGUUGUAGUCAGGUUUCAGCCGUUCCCAGGGGAAUGUAGCUCGUUAGGAGUUUUUUAUCUGACUGUUGAAAGGCCUUCAUCUCAGGACAGUUGGUUUUGACUCCCUCCCUCCCUGAGACAGCUGCGUAAUAACAUAGUAUAAAGUGCCCUGUUUCUUCACUGGCUCUUUGUCUUACACUCUGCAGACUGAAUGCACUCUGUAUGUUUGUCUAUUUAAGAAUAAAGCCUUUGUUUCAUAAACCA